This 761-nucleotide ribosomal RNA is filed under the name uncultured Acidobacteriota bacterium. RNAcentral describes it as "bacterial SSU rRNA". It matches the Rfam family "Bacterial small subunit ribosomal RNA", at positions 61 to 853 of the family's 1533-position model. Lineage: Bacteria; Pseudomonadati; Acidobacteriota. The record is from RNAcentral.
GUCGAACGAGAAAGGGUAGCAAUACCUGAGUACAGUGGCGCACGGGUGAGUAACACGUGACUAACCUACCCUGGAGUGGGGAAUAACUGAGGGAAACCUUAGCUAAUACCGCAUAAUACCUACGGGUCAAAGGAGCAAUUCGCUUCAGGAGGGGGUCGCGGCCGAUUAGUUAGUUGGCGGGGUAAUGGCCCACCAAGACAAUGAUCGGUAUCCGGCCUGAGAGGGCGCACGGACACACUGGAACUGAAACACGGUCCAGACUCCUACGGGAGGCAGCAGUGGGGAAUUUUGCGCAAUGGGGGAAACCCUGACGCAGCAACGCCGCGUGGAGGAUGAAAUCCCUUGGGAUGUAAACUCCUUUCGAUCGGGACGAUUAUGACGGUACCGGAAGAAGAAGCCCCGGCUAACUUCGUGCCAGCAGCCGCGGUAAUACGAGGGGGGCAAGCGUUGUUCGGAAUUAUUGGGCGUAAAGGGUGUGUAGGCGGUUUGGUAAGUCGUGUGUGAAAUCUUCGGGCUCAACCCGAAGUCUGCACACGAAACUGCCGGGCUUGAGUAUGGGAGAGGUGAGUGGAAUUCCUGGUGUAGCGGUGAAAUGCGUAGAUAUCAGGAGGAACACCUGUGGCGAAAGCGGCUCACUGGACCAUUACUGACGCUGAAACACGAAAGCUAGGGGAGCAAACAGGAUUAGAUACCCUGGUAGUCCUAGCCCUAAACGAUGACUGCUUGGUGUGGCGGGUACCCAAUCCCGCCGUGCCGUAGCU